Molecule: transfer RNA, 89 nt
Filed under: Acidobacteria bacterium RIFCSPLOWO2_12_FULL_67_14b
Lineage: Bacteria; Pseudomonadati; Acidobacteriota
Also listed under: 1 other name
Description: tRNA-Leu
Rfam family: tRNA
About the family: Transfer RNA (tRNA) molecules are approximately 80 nucleotides in length. Their secondary structure includes four short double-helical elements and three loops (D, anti-codon, and T loops).
Source: RNAcentral
GCCGGGGUGGCGAAACUGGCAGACGCACAGGACUUAAAAUCCUGAGACGCGCAAGCGUCGUGUGGGUUCGAUUCCCACCCCCGGCACCA